RNAcentral lists this ribosomal RNA (2793 nucleotides) under Escherichia coli. Its description in RNAcentral is "partial 23S ribosomal RNA". It matches the Rfam family "Bacterial large subunit ribosomal RNA". Lineage: Bacteria; Pseudomonadati; Pseudomonadota; Gammaproteobacteria; Enterobacterales; Enterobacteriaceae. The record is from RNAcentral.
GGUUAAGCGACUAAGCGUACACGGUGGAUGCCCUGGCAGUCAGAGGCGAUGAAGGACGUGCUAAUCUGCGAUAAGCGUCGGUAAGGUGAUAUGAACCGUUAUAACCGGCGAUUUCCGAAUGGGGAAACCCAGUGUGUUUCGACACACUAUCAUUAACUGAAUCCAUAGGUUAAUGAGGCGAACCGGGGGAACUGAAACAUCUAAGUACCCCGAGGAAAAGAAAUCAACCGAGAUUCCCCCAGUAGCGGCGAGCGAACGGGGAGGAGCCCAGAGCCUGAAUCAGUGUGUGUGUUAGUGGAAGCGUCUGGAAAGGCGCGCGAUACAGGGUGACAGCCCCGUACACAAAAAUGCACAUGCUGUGAGCUCGAUGAGUAGGGCGGGACACGUGGUAUCCUGUCUGAAUAUGGGGGGACCAUCCUCCAAGGCUAAAUACUCCUGACUGACCGAUAGUGAACCAGUACCGUGAGGGAAAGGCGAAAAGAACCCCGGCGAGGGGAGUGAAAAAGAACCUGAAACCGUGUACGUACAAGCAGUGGGAGCACGCUUCGGCGUGUGACUGCGUACCUUUUGUAUAAUGGGUCAGCGACUUAUAUUCUGUAGCAAGGUUAACCGAAUAGGGGAGCCGAAGGGAAACCGAGUCUUAACUGGGCGUUAAGUUGCAGGGUAUAGACCCGAAACCCGGUGAUCUAGCCAUGGGCAGGUUGAAGGUUGGGUAACACUAACUGGAGGACCGAACCGACUAAUGUUGAAAAAUUAGCGGAUGACUUGUGGCUGGGGGUGAAAGGCCAAUCAAACCGGGAGAUAGCUGGUUCUCCCCGAAAGCUAUUUAGGUAGCGCCUCGUGAAUUCAUCUCCGGGGGUAGAGCACUGUUUCGGCAAGGGGGUCAUCCCGACUUACCAACCCGAUGCAAACUGCGAAUACCGGAGAAUGUUAUCACGGGAGACACACGGCGGGUGCUAACGUCCGUCGUGAAGAGGGAAACAACCCAGACCGCCAGCUAAGGUCCCAAAGUCAUGGUUAAGUGGGAAACGAUGUGGGAAGGCCCAGACAGCCAGGAUGUUGGCUUAGAAGCAGCCAUCAUUUAAAGAAAGCGUAAUAGCUCACUGGUCGAGUCGGCCUGCGCGGAAGAUGUAACGGGGCUAAACCAUGCACCGAAGCUGCGGCAGCGACGCUGAUGCGUUGUUGGGUAGGGGAGCGUUCUGUAAGCCUGUGAAGGUGUACUGUGAGGUAUGCUGGAGGUAUCAGAAGUGCGAAUGCUGACAUAAGUAACGAUAAAGCGGGUGAAAAGCCCGCUCGCCGGAAGACCAAGGGUUCCUGUCCAACGUUAAUCGGGGCAGGGUGAGUCGACCCCUAAGGCGAGGCCGAAAGGCGUAGUCGAUGGGAAACAGGUUAAUAUUCCUGUACUUGGUGUUACUGCGAAGGGGGGACGGAGAAGGCUAUGUUGGCCGGGCGACGGUUGUCCCGGUUUAAGCGUGUAGGCUGGUUUUCCAGGCAAAUCCGGAAAAUCAAGGCUGAGGCGUGAUGACGAGGCACUACGGUGCUGAAGCAACAAAUGCCCUGCUUCCAGGAAAAGCCUCUAAGCAUCAGGUAACAUCAAAUCGUACCCCAAACCGACACAGGUGGUCAGGUAGAGAAUACCAAGGCGCUUGAGAGAACUCGGGUGAAGGAACUAGGCAAAAUGGUGCCGUAACUUCGGGAGAAGGCACGCUGAUAUGUAGGUGAAGCGACUUGCUCGUGGAGCUGAAAUCAGUCGAAGAUACCAGCUGGCUGCAACUGUUUAUUAAAAACACAGCACUGUGCAAACACGAAAGUGGACGUAUACGGUGUGACGCCUGCCCGGUGCCGGAAGGUUAAUUGAUGGGGUUAGCGCAAGCGAAGCUCUUGAUCGAAGCCCCGGUAAACGGCGGCCGUAACUAUAACGGUCCUAAGGUAGCGAAAUUCCUUGUCGGGUAAGUUCCGACCUGCACGAAUGGCGUAAUGAUGGCCAGGCUGUCUCCACCCGAGACUCAGUGAAAUUGAACUCGCUGUGAAGAUGCAGUGUACCCGCGGCAAGACGGAAAGACCCCGUGAACCUUUACUAUAGCUUGACACUGAACAUUGAGCCUUGAUGUGUAGGAUAGGUGGGAGGCUUUGAAGUGUGGACGCCAGUCUGCAUGGAGCCGACCUUGAAAUACCACCCUUUAAUGUUUGAUGUUCUAACGUUGACCCGUAAUCCGGGUUGCGGACAGUGUCUGGUGGGUAGUUUGACUGGGGCGGUCUCCUCCUAAAGAGUAACGGAGGAGCACGAAGGUUGGCUAAUCCUGGUCGGACAUCAGGAGGUUAGUGCAAUGGCAUAAGCCAGCUUGACUGCGAGCGUGACGGCGCGAGCAGGUGCGAAAGCAGGUCAUAGUGAUCCGGUGGUUCUGAAUGGAAGGGCCAUCGCUCAACGGAUAAAAGGUACUCCGGGGAUAACAGGCUGAUACCGCCCAAGAGUUCAUAUCGACGGCGGUGUUUGGCACCUCGAUGUCGGCUCAUCACAUCCUGGGGCUGAAGUAGGUCCCAAGGGUAUGGCUGUUCGCCAUUUAAAGUGGUACGCGAGCUGGGUUUAGAACGUCGUGAGACAGUUCGGUCCCUAUCUGCCGUGGGCGCUGGAGAACUGAGGGGGGCUGCUCCUAGUACGAGAGGACCGGAGUGGACGCAUCACUGGUGUUCGGGUUGUCAUGCCAAUGGCACUGCCCGGUAGCUAAAUGCGGAAGAGAUAAGUGCUGAAAGCAUCUAAGCACGAAACUUGCCCCGAGAUGAGUUCUCCCUGAC